UAGAAUCUACUUUCCUUUGGGUUGUUUGGGGUUCCGCGGUUUCGUCUGCCUGUUUUUUUAUCUAGUUUCUCCUUCCGUCCUGACGGUACACUGCUCACAAACGCAAGUGAGUGCAGGAUAGACUUGGUUGAUAAUUGAGCCGCUCAGAAGUAGUAUAUUCCGCCUUUGAUGAGUGGAACAAAAUCACUGCUGAUGUACGGUCGCCUUAAUUUGUUGUCCCCAUCUCAUACCCCCUCAAUAUAUAAGAAUCACCAAGAGAAAAAAAGACGAACCGAUCUACCCUGUAAAAAAACUGUUCAUGGCGAACGGAGAGCUAUCUCGGAUUUCUCGGUGUUUUUAUUAUCAAAAGGCUGACUAGUCUCUGUGGUACAAAAGCCCAUCCUCCUGGCCAAGUCCGUUCACCCGAUUGGUAAAAUGGCUUUUGAAUAUUAAAUGAGUUUUUAAAAUUAGAACAGUUUGUUAUUAUGGGUGUUAGUUUUUUUUCUUCUAAAUAUGCCGUCCUUACACACAGCGUCAUACAAACUCGCGC
Long non-coding RNA from Nematostella vectensis (starlet sea anemone), 529 nucleotides. RefSeq lists it as uncharacterized. The transcript has 3 exons. Lineage: Eukaryota; Metazoa; Cnidaria; Anthozoa; Actiniaria; Edwardsiidae. The record is from RefSeq and is a predicted model, not a curated record.